This 73-nucleotide transfer RNA is filed under the name Minisyncoccota bacterium. RNAcentral describes it as "tRNA-Thr". It matches the Rfam family "tRNA". Rfam says of the family: Transfer RNA (tRNA) molecules are approximately 80 nucleotides in length. The record is from RNAcentral. Lineage: Bacteria; Bacillati; Minisyncoccota.
GCCAAUGUAGCUCAGCUGGUAGAGCAAUGCUUUCGUAAAGCAUGGGUCGGAGGUUCGAAUCCUCUCAUUGGCU